RNAcentral lists this ribosomal RNA (253 nucleotides) under uncultured bacterium. Its description in RNAcentral is "partial 16S ribosomal RNA". It matches the Rfam family "Bacterial small subunit ribosomal RNA", at positions 524 to 776 of the family's 1533-position model. The record is from RNAcentral.
AACGUAGGAGACAAACGUUAUCCGGAGUUACUGGGCGUAAAGGGCUCGUAGGCGGCCAACUAAGUCGGACGUGAAAUCCCUCAGCUUAACUGGGGAACUGCGUCCGAUACUGGAUGGCUUGGAUUUGGGAGAGGGAUGCGGAAUUCCAGGUGUAGCGGUGAAAUGCGUAGAUAUCUGGAGGAACACCGGUGGCGAAGGCGGCAUCCUGGACCAAUAUUGACGCUGAGGAGCGAAAGCCAGGGGAGCAAACGGG